This is a long non-coding RNA of Centrocercus urophasianus (Greater sage-grouse), 1050 nucleotides long. RefSeq lists it as uncharacterized. NCBI's taxonomy places the organism in Eukaryota, Metazoa, Chordata, Aves, Galliformes, Phasianidae. The transcript is spliced from 3 exons. The record is from RefSeq and is a predicted model, not a curated record.
UGCAGAAGUGCUCCUCCAGAAGUGGCUCAGCCCUGCCCUCCUUCCCUGCAAAGCAGCCAAGCACGCCGUGCUAUUGAGCUCUGGAAAUUCAAAGCAUCUAAAGCAUAAAUCUCACCCACCCCAAUCAGGUCCGUGCUGCUGCUAAGCCAUGUUUGUGUGCUCAUGGUCAGCCCCUCCUUGAUUAAUCAUUUCAUGUUAAGUACGCUCUCAAAAUGAAUGUACUGACACGGAAAAGACAAUUGAAAAUGAGAGUCCAAACUACCAAUGGAGGAUUUUGCCUCUGCAUCCAAGUUGGCAAAUGAACAUGGGCACUGGUAAGGAAUAGUCACCCUCCAGAUAUUUCUGCAGAAAAGCCCAGGCAGGGAAUGAAUGAUGGGAGCAUGCAGGGACAGGGCUGAUCCAGGAAUGGGGCAGGCAGUUUGGCUGCAGCUCCACCUUGACCCAUGCAAAUCUGGUUGGGUAAAAGCAUGUUCCUAGGGAAAUGAAAGUUUCUGGUGUGGCUGUUUGCCAGCUGAAGCUCCGGGGAGGAGCCCAGUGUCGUGGUGGUGCUCUGGGUUGAACAGCUUAUGUGGGGCAGUGUGAUGUUGAGUACUGGAGGGUGCAAUCUGAGGGGGUCCUCUGCGCCGUGAGCAGCGGCUCUGGCUGGGAACAGGCUGUGACUGUGCUGGAUGCUGAGGACUUCAAGGUGGAUUAUGCAUCUCCUGGGGUCACCAAGCCCCACAUCGCAGCACAGAUGUGACCUGGGCGCAGGGUGUGUGCAUCCAGCACAGCCAUCCACCCCCAUACUCACCAGGCUGAGUCCCCGCUCAGCUCACGGUUGGAGCGUGGACCUCUGACUUCCAGCUGCAAACAUCUCCUCCUUGCACAAGAGGAAGCAGCCGAGCUGAUGUGCAUGGGAAUUAUCCCAUGUCUUGGAACUCCUUCGGGUCUUGAAGCCAUCUGCACAGCCCUGCCCGGGUCGGGGAAAUCCUGGAGCCUCUGGAGCAGAACACUUCUGACCACUUGAUGCUGAUGGAGACGUCUUCUAUCAACACCUUCAGGAACUCACGU